GAUCCUGGCUCAGGAUGAACGCUGGCGGCGUGCUUAACACAUGCAAGUCGAGCGAAGCACUUUGGAAAGAUUCUUCGGAUGAUUUCCUUUGUGACUGAGCGGCGGACGGGUGAAGGUAACGCGUGGGUAACCUGCCUCAUACAGGGGGAUAACAGUUAGAAAUGACUGCUAAUACCGCAUAAGACCACGGUGCCGCAUGGUACAGUGGUAAAAACUCCGGUGGUAUGAGAUGGACCCGCGU
RNAcentral lists this ribosomal RNA (241 nucleotides) under uncultured bacterium. Its description in RNAcentral is "partial 16S ribosomal RNA". It matches the Rfam family "Bacterial small subunit ribosomal RNA", at positions 15 to 236 of the family's 1533-position model. The record is from RNAcentral.